RNAcentral lists this ribosomal RNA (483 nucleotides) under Diplocentrus zacatecanus. RNAcentral's name for it is "partial 16S ribosomal RNA". It matches the Rfam family "Archaeal large subunit ribosomal RNA", at positions 1920 to 2669 of the family's 2987-position model. The record is from RNAcentral. Lineage: Eukaryota; Metazoa; Arthropoda; Arachnida; Scorpiones; Diplocentridae.
GGUCUAUAGAGUUCAUUAUAGAUCAGGCCUGCUCAAUGCAAUCAGUAAAUAGCCGCAGUACUCUGACUGUGCAAAGGUAGCAUAGUAAUUAGCCCUUUAAUUGUGGGCUGGAAUGAACGGUUUGACUGGGUAGUGCUGUCUCGUUACUAUACCUUGAACUUUACUUACUAGUAAGAAGGCUAGUAUUAUCUAAGAGGACAAGAAGACCCUUUCGAGCUUUACAGGGAUAUCCUUCACUUCCAAGGUGGGUUUAACCUGUUGGACUGGGGCAGUAGAGGAAAUCUAUCCUUCAAACACUAUGGGAUACAGCCCUAGCCGUAUCUAGAACUUCUAAAGUGGGAACAAGUUACCGUAGGGAUAACAGCGUAAUUUCACUAGAGAGAACGUAUUGGCAGUGAAGUUUGCGACCUCGAUGUUGGAUUAAGGGACCUACCCUAUGCAGAAGUAAGGUAAGGCAGUCUGUUCGACUAUUAAACCCUUCCA